Molecule: ribosomal RNA, 301 nt
Filed under: uncultured bacterium
Lineage: Bacteria
Description: partial 16S ribosomal RNA
Rfam family: Bacterial small subunit ribosomal RNA
Source: RNAcentral
CAGCCGCCGCGGGAAUACGAAGGGGGCUAGCGUUGUUCGGAUCUACUGGGCGUAAAGGGCGCGUAGGCGGACUGAUAAGUCAGGGGUGAAAUCCCAAGGCUCAACCUUGGAACUGCCUUUGAUACUGUUUGUCUUGAGUUCGAGAGAGGUAAGCGGAACUGCGAGUGUAGAGGUGAAAUUCGUAGAUAUUCGCAAGAACACCAGUGGCGAAGGCGGCUUACUGGCUCGAAACUGACGCUGAGGCGCGAAAGCGUGGGGAGCAAACAGGAUUAGAUACCCCUGUAGUCCCUGUCUCUUAUAC